CCCUUAGAUGUUCUGGGCUGCACGCGCGCUACACUGUCGGAUUCAGCGAGUCAUAUCCUUAACCGAAAGGUUUGGGUAAUCUUUUGAAAGUCCGACGUGAUGGGGAUUGAUCAUUGCAAUUAUUGAUCAUGAACGAGGAAUUCCUAGUAAGCGCGAGUCAUCAGCUCGCGUUGAUUACGUCCCUGCCCUUUGUACACACCGCCCGUCGCUACUACCGAUUGAAUGGUUUAGCGAGAUCUUCGGAUUGGCGCCUACGCGGCUUCUCUGAGGCCACGCUGGAUGCCGAAAAGUUGCUCAAACUGUAUCAUUUAGAGGAAGUAAAAGUCGUAACA
This 332-nucleotide ribosomal RNA is filed under the name uncultured eukaryote. RNAcentral describes it as "partial 18S ribosomal RNA". It matches the Rfam family "Eukaryotic small subunit ribosomal RNA", at positions 1470 to 1796 of the family's 1831-position model. The record is from RNAcentral.